Molecule: ribosomal RNA, 253 nt
Filed under: uncultured bacterium
Lineage: Bacteria
Description: partial 16S ribosomal RNA
Rfam family: Bacterial small subunit ribosomal RNA
Source: RNAcentral
UACAGAGGUCCCAAGCGUUGUUCGGAUUCACUGGGCGUAAAGGGCGCGUAGGUGGCUAGGUAAGCGUGUGGUGAAAGUCCGGGGCUCAACCCCGGAUCUGCCGUGCGAACUGCCAGGCUUGAGCAAUGUAGAGGCAGGUGGAAUUUCGGGUGUAGCGGUGGAAUGCGUAGAUAUCCGAAAGAACACCAGUGGCGAAGGCGGCCUGCUGGGCAUUUGCUGACACUGAGGCGCGACAGCGUGGGGAGCAAACAGG